UACGUAGGGGCCAAGCGUUGUCCGGAAUCAUUGGGCGUAAAGAGCUCGUAGGCGGUUUGGUAAGUCGGAUGUGAAAUCUCCACGCUCAACGUGGAGCGGCCAUCCGAUACUGCCCUGACUCGAGUCCGGCAGGGGAGUGUGGAAUUCCCGGUGUAGCGGUGAAAUGCGCAGAUAUCGGGAGGAACACCAGUAGCGAAGGCGGCACUCUGGGCCGGUACUGACGCUGAGGAGCGAAAGCGUGGGGAGCGAACAGG
RNAcentral lists this ribosomal RNA (254 nucleotides) under uncultured bacterium. RNAcentral's name for it is "partial 16S ribosomal RNA". It matches the Rfam family "Bacterial small subunit ribosomal RNA", at positions 524 to 776 of the family's 1533-position model. The record is from RNAcentral.